UACGGGGGGGGCAAGCGUUGUUCGGAAUUACUGGGCGUAAAGGGCUCGUAGGCGGCCAACUAAGUCAGACGCGAAAUCCCUCGGCUUAACCGGGGAACUGCGUCUGAUACUGGAUGGCUCGAGUUUGGGAGAGGGAUGCGGAAUUCCAGGUGUAGCGGUGAAAUGCGUAGAUAUCUGGAGGAACACCGGUGGCGAAGGCGGCAUCCUGGACCGGCAUUGACGCUGAGGCGCGAAAGCCAGGGGAGCAAACGGG
Molecule: ribosomal RNA, 253 nt
Filed under: uncultured bacterium
Lineage: Bacteria
Description: partial 16S ribosomal RNA
Rfam family: Bacterial small subunit ribosomal RNA
Source: RNAcentral